GGGCGUAAAGGGCUCGUAGGUGGUUGAUCGCGUCGGAAGUGUAAUCUUGGGGCUUAACCCUGAGCGUGCUUUCGAUACGGGUUGACUUGAGGAAGGUAGGGGAGAAUGGAAUUCCUGGUGGAGCGGUGGAAUGCGCAGAUAUCAGGAGGAACACCAGUGGCGAAGGCGGUUCUCUGGGCCUUUCCUGACGCUGAGGAGCGAAAGCGUGGGGAGCGAACAGGCUUAGAUACCCUGGUAGUCCACGCUGUAAACGGUGGGUACUAGGUGUGGGGUCCAUUCCACGGGUUCCGUGCCGUAGCUAACGCUUUAAGUACCCCGCCUGGGGAGUACGGCCGCAAGGCUAAAACUCAAAGGAAUUGACGGGGCCCCGCACAAGCGGCGGAGCAUGCGGAUUAAUUCGAUGCAACGCGUAGAACCUUACCUGGGUUUGACAUGGAUCGGGAGCGCUCAGAGGUGGGUGUGCCUCUUUUGGGGUCGGUUCACAGGUGGUGCAUGGCUGUCGUCAGCUCGUGUCGUGAGAUGUUGGGUUAAGUCCCGCAACGAGCGCAACCCUUGUUCACUGUUGCCAGCACGUUAUGGUGGGGACUCAGUGGAGACCGCCGGGGUCAACUCGGAGGAAGGU
This 622-nucleotide ribosomal RNA is filed under the name uncultured Actinomycetes bacterium. RNAcentral describes it as "bacterial SSU rRNA". It matches the Rfam family "Bacterial small subunit ribosomal RNA", at positions 556 to 1174 of the family's 1533-position model. Lineage: Bacteria; Bacillati; Actinomycetota; Actinomycetes. The record is from RNAcentral.